Pelobates cultripes (western spadefoot toad) is the source of this 264-nucleotide non-coding RNA. The record is from the annotation of a GenBank genome assembly. Lineage: Eukaryota; Metazoa; Chordata; Amphibia; Anura; Pelobatidae.
CAUAUUUUUUUAUCAUUUGCCUCUUUAGGAGGCUGUAUUCAGUAUCUGCGCAGGGCAUGAGUUGAGAUUUAUAGGAUGCCUAGUGGUGACAAACGAAUUGUUUUAUGCUUAUAUGUAAGUUAUUAAAUUCCUUUUUAUUGUACUCUGGAAGCGCACUACAUUUUUUUCUGUAUAUUUUUCUCUUGAGUUACAUAUUCCAACCUACUGAUGGGAGUGUGAAGAUGAGAAAAUGCAGUGGAUAUUGGAGGAGAGAUUUUACUUAAG